Molecule: long non-coding RNA, 408 nt
Organism: Oncorhynchus nerka (sockeye salmon)
Lineage: Eukaryota; Metazoa; Chordata; Actinopteri; Salmoniformes; Salmonidae
Exons: 2
Source: RefSeq, a predicted model, not a curated record
UGUAUAACUAUCAAAAUGUGUUUUUGUUUUGCAAAAUGCCUUCUGGUAUGUGACCUUCCAUGUGCCUUAAUAACAAACUUGUAUACCAUCCGUAAAUACGAGUAAAAAUUGUAAACUACGAGCCGAGUUAGUUUAGCCACGGAAAAAGGAAGGAAACUUCCCUUGUCUUGAUUGGCUGAGAUAAUGGAUGAGCUGGACGCGCCAUUAAACGAGUUCGGAUUGGUCUGCCAUGUAGCACGCUUUGGUCUAUAACAUGAGCUUCUCAGUAUGUGGUGGCAAUAUCCUUCUCCAGAACCUGGUGCUGGACAUUCCGGGCAUCUUCACGGAGCUUGACUUCAUCCAUCAGAAUGGUAGACUACAGAUUCAAUGAUAAGGAUCAUUAAAAGGAAAUAAACACUUUACAUUUGA